GUUGUUUGUGCUUCGAACGUCAUCACAUCGUCACGGGAGUCAAGAGUCCACACACCGAGUGCUCGUCACAGCAGAAAGCCUGACUGAUCAUCCAGCGAGGCAAAUGAAUAAUAAAAGAUCAAUGGACAGCUUUGUCAUUAACACUUUGACAGAGUGGCAGCUGACAGACCUUGUCGACAAAUUUAAAGAUUGCACAGGACAGUCUUGUCCUGCAAGGGGAUGCUGCAUCAAAAUUGUUUGAAACUUGGCUACCCAUUUAUGCUGAGAAGAUCCUGUGCCUGGCACCUGGAUGGAUAAACACCAGAUGGUGUUGGGGAUCUCGCCCUGAGGCAGCUGCCAACCUUGCUUCCACCUACAACUUACAAAGUUGGCCGUGGCCGCAGUGUGAAAGUGGUUCGCCACACCAUUCAGGAAUGCAGCUUGGCCUUCAUCGACCGUAAGCCUGUAAGUCCUCAAGCACAUCUAAAUGGGAAACUUUAUUUAUUUUAUCAACAUAUCUGAGCUUAAGAAUGUGUGCAAGCACACAUGCAUAUCCAGGUUUGUUUUACUAUACUUUUGUGGACAGUCAUCAAAUAAAGCCUGACAGUAUUCGGAAAAUAGCCAUUCUACAAGCUUACAACACAAGCAUCCUGUGCUUCUAGAACACCUCAGCAGUGCCACAGGCUAAUUACCUCUGAUGCAGUAAUUUGUUCUAAAACAGGCACCAACAAAGGUAUUGAGUGCAGAAAUCAACAUAUUUAUCAGAAGGUUGACACUUUUGUAUUUUAACCCAUUUGGACCUGACUCUGUAAGGUUGACUAAAGAAGUCUUCUAAAUCUACAAACCAUUUGCGGCCCACCUAUCUGACCACCUAACUCGGCUGCCUAUCGGCCAGAUAGGAGAGUCAGAUUUUCUGAUCAUGUUUAUUGUAAUGAUAGAUCAUCAGUAGAUUUAUGGCUUUUUAGGACAAUUGAGAACAUAUGAUACAGUUCAACAUUUUGAAUUAGAGAUGCACUGAAUCUUUUCCAAAUUGUCAAGCUAACUAGACUUUAUAAUAAAACAAUAAUUUCUGUAGUGAGGACCAGGAAAAUGGUCCUCACAAUGUCUAUAUUAGAAUUCUUCUAUAGUAGUCUGUAGACAUUUGGUCCUUACUCACUCGCACUCUCUCACUUGCUCUCUUGUAUUCUUUCUUUUUUAGCCUGGAAUAAACAUGGUGGAGUAGCUCAAUGAGGCCAAGGCAUGCAAACCAUACCCCCACAUCCUGACGCUGGGAAAUGAUCAGAGGGCAUUUCAGAAUUUGUUCAAGACAGUUGACUGUUGGCAUGUUGAAUGUUCAGCCAGUUCAUUCAUAAUUGUUGUUUUGCUAUGAAUGUUUUCCUAUCUAGUGAUAUUAACUGCACCAGUUACACUAUUGUUGAUAUUAAUGAAUGUAAUACAAUAAAAAAAUUCUGAGAUUC
Molecule: long non-coding RNA, 1436 nt
Organism: Triplophysa dalaica
Lineage: Eukaryota; Metazoa; Chordata; Actinopteri; Cypriniformes; Nemacheilidae
Exons: 4
Source: RefSeq, a predicted model, not a curated record